GUGGGGAAUCUUGCGCAAUGGGCGAAAGCCUGACGCAGCCAUGCCGCGUGAAUGAUGAAGGUCUUAGGAUUGUAAAAUUCUUUCACCGGGGACGAUAAUGACGGUACCCGGAGAAGAAGCCCCGGCUAACUUCGUGCCAGCAGCCGCGGUAAUACGAAGGGGGCUAGCGUUGCUCGGAAUUACUGGGCGUAAAGGGAGCGUAGGCGGACAUUUAAGUCAGGGGUGAAAUCCCGGGGCUCAACCUCGGAAUUGCCUUUGAUACUGGGUGUCUUGAGUGUGAGAGAGGUAUGUGGAACUCCGAGUGUAGAGGUGAAAUUCGUAGAUAUUCGGAAGAACACCAGUGGCGAAGGCGACAUACUGGCUCAUUACUGACGCUGAGGCUCGAAAGCGUGGGGAGCAAACAGGAUUAGAUAACCUGGUAGUCC
Molecule: ribosomal RNA, 425 nt
Filed under: uncultured bacterium
Lineage: Bacteria
Description: partial 16S ribosomal RNA
Rfam family: Bacterial small subunit ribosomal RNA
Source: RNAcentral